Non-coding RNA from Oryza sativa Japonica Group (Japanese rice), 3060 nucleotides. Lineage: Eukaryota; Viridiplantae; Streptophyta; Magnoliopsida; Poales; Poaceae. The record is from RefSeq and is a predicted model, not a curated record.
GCAAUCCCCUUUCAGAUCCGUUGUUGCGUGGGACCCACCUGUCAUCCCUAAGAAAGUAACCACGCACCAAGAAAAAUAGAAAAAAAAGCGCGCCGCUAACCUCCGCCAUCCCCACGUCGCGCCGCGCCGCCCUCCCCACGUCGUACCUCCGCCGCCCGCCUCACCCGCCGCACUCCCCUCUCCCCUCUCCCUCGCGUCGCCCACCUCCCCUCGCCGCACUCCCCUCUCCCUCGCAUCGCCCACCUCCCCUCUCCCCGCUGCCUCAGGAUCUCCUCCGCGCCGCCGCCGUUCAGUCGUCGUCGCCGAUUCUCCUUCGCCGCGCACAGCCGUCGUGGCCUCAGGUUGCUUGCACCUUCUCCCAUGCUGACUAACGGCGUCGUGGCCGCCGCCGCCAUCAUCACCGGCACCGACCUCUCCUCUCAGAUAACCGAAAACAUCAUGUUGAGUUUUGAGUGGUCUCUCCGAGAAAUGGAGCCUGAAGAAGCAGUAGACAAUUGAUUUUGUUACCAAGUGAUUCACUUUUGUUCUUUUGCUACAUAAGGUGGAACAUUUUUUAUGUUUUUAAAUUUCUAUUUAUAUAUAUUCCAGUGUAUGACAGAUUUGGAGCCUCCAGACAAGCAGGCUGAUGCGCAACUUGCUCUGUGGUGGUUAGCACCGAAUCAUGUAGUACUAAUGAAGCUAAUUAGGCGCAAGAGCUGCUCUCCACCCUGAUUGCCAUAGACCUUCCUUCCAGGUGAGAGGUGGGGCAGAGGCGGAUCAUGCCUGAUGUCGGGAUGUGCGAGUAAAUUAGAGGGUUGAAAAGGGCGGCGAAGUUGUGAAGAGCUGAUUCCAAUCCUCGGUCUGACUUUGGGAUCAAUUGACAUAUCUCUAAAGUGCUGCAGUUGUAGUAGGGGUCUCUGUAUAAACCACUCUUGAGCUUUCUCAACUCCAAGUGGAUCUAUUGCAACCAACACAGUGGCUCUCCCUGCUGACCAUGUAUGUGUCUUACUUCUGAGAUAAGUCUGUUUUAGUCGAAUUUCCUAUUUUUAUUAUAGGAAAUAUCCAAUUUGAGAAAUGAAUUGAGAUAUUACCCUACCUACUCUGUUAUAUGGCUUCAAGUAUUUAUACUUGCUGGCAUCGCAGCUUAUACCUUCGCUUCGUAUAGUAACAGAUUCAAAGAGCACUGACCUUAAAAGGAAGAGAGCAAACAACUGGUACAGUUCCUUGAGCACUGAGCAAAAGGAUUGGACAUGAGUAACCUUCAAAUUUUGGUGUUAGACUACACAUAUUCUGAUUCUAAGUGUAAUUAGAAGCAUCUCUGCCAGUCCUUUAUAUGUUCCAUUUACAUUUGUGUCGUGCAAUGUCAACUGCUGAAGGUAAUAGUGUAGGUUGUGUAAAUAACUGUAUCAUGGUUCGGCCUAGCAAGCCCGAGGAAUAAUUUGCUCUUUCUGUAAACAAAAAAGUUUGCGAUCUAAUUCUUUCUCAGGUUACUGUUCCCAUUGACCUGCAGUCAUCCGCACACAUAUACCUACAACAGCUACCAUUCUCAUGUGGAUAUGACUUGCAAAGUAAAACAGAACUUUGAUGCAUGAGCAUACUUGAUUUGAUUUGUAAUUUGCUCCUGCGUACCUAUCUGAACUUUUUUGCCUGUUCAACUAUUGCAGGGAUUUAUCAUAAUUAGCUAGACAUUUUCAUCUGAACAUUUUUGUCUGUUGCAGCAUUGCAGGGACCAUCACAAGUACCUGGACAUUUUCUCAUCUACUUACAAACUAAAACAGAACUUGAUGCUUGAGCAUACUUGAUUUGAUUUUUAAUUUUCUGCUGGCAUUGCAGGGACAUCACAAGUGCCUGGACAUUUUCUUCUCUACUAACAUGCAAGCCACAACAUGUUAUUGAUACAAAAUGGUUUGAUUUGACUCUUUCCUGCCACACAUUAGAGGACGACCUGCCAUGGUCGAUGUUACAAACUUAACUGCUGCCAAGGAUAGGAGAAAGCGUGACAGAGAGGUAUGCUGCACUCCCUCUACAAUCGUCACAGGAAGGGUGCCCAUAAGAGAUAUCACAAAUUAUGCUGGCUUUGGUGCUACCCAAACCUAUUCAGGAACCGUGAUACUGAAAGAUUGGUUGGAGGCUUGGAGCUGUUUAUUUCCCUUAAUUUCAGCCUUCCUGAUAAAAAUGCAUGCUGCCUACUGUGCAGUGCCAAAGCUUUGAUUCGAGACACUGUUGUAGGUCUUCUAUGGGUCUUGGAAGUGCUCAUCCACUGUUUUGAUCAGUGAAGGGGAUGCUGUUAGUGAUGGAGUUAGAACAAGACAUAAAGGCAAGCAUCUAUGGUGCUUGAGACCUACUUUCUUAUUACGUCACCCAAUUUUGCUUGAACAAGAGGCAUGCAAAACAUUUGAAGGAUGGAUCAUGAUCAACGGCAGAGGGUGAGCUGCGCCAUGGGUCGUGAAUCACCGUUGCUAUUGCCUCCAACUUGUCGCUGGAGCCACGCGCCCAACAGCUAGAGCCAAGAUGAAUUCCUGAGAGAGUCUCUAUCCCCUUAUUCUCUCUCUUCUCUCUCUAAACCUCACACCACAUACAUGAAAAGGUUGCGGUGAUGAUGGUAUUGUUGUUUCCAUGGCCGCCUGGUGGCGAUAGUGACGGGGAGAACGACUGUUGUGGCGGGCAGAGUAAGAAGACAUCUAGGAGGUCACCAGUGGAGAGGAGGAGGGGGAUGACCCCAUCGUGGCGAACCAGCAAUGAAGGAGAUGGCCGUUGCUGUGGACUCCGACAAUGAGGAAGGCAAGAUCAUCGAAGGUAAGGAGCACUGGGUCGUCAUAGGCACGAGUUCAUCGAAGGAAUCUUAGAUCCAGCCAUCGGAGAGUAAGAAGGACCUAGAUUUGGAUUGGCAUAUUUUUUUGUCAUUUUUUCCAUGUUUCAUCCCAUAUAUGUUUUACAUGUUUCUUUGUAUUAUAUCAAAAUAUUUAUGUAUAAAUUCUUUUGAUGUUACAUAUUUUUUCUUACUUCGAUUUGUAGGGAUAUGUUGAUGUUUCAUCAGUUGAAGCUUGAUGUUUCAUUUACAUGAGUGGAAUGUUUCAAUCA